This is a non-coding RNA of Pelobates cultripes (western spadefoot toad), 247 nucleotides long. The record is from the annotation of a GenBank genome assembly. NCBI's taxonomy places the organism in Eukaryota, Metazoa, Chordata, Amphibia, Anura, Pelobatidae.
GUCCGACAGCUUCUCUUUCUUCUCUGUCAGUAACUUACGCCAGCUCUCUGGCUACAAUCUGCCGCACAGAGGUACGGUAAUUCCACAUACUUUAGCAAUCUUCCUCACUUUCUUAACCAUCUCUUCUCCUUCUCUGUCUUCCACUAGAUCACAUGCUAACCAACCCUUACUGGGUUUAUCUAACUUCUGUCCCAUCCUCCCUAUAUAAGGCGUCCCAGAUAUAGAGAUAGAGAGAAAAGAAGGUCUA